RNA transcript from Felis catus (domestic cat), 4536 nucleotides. It is a transcript of the gene named crumbs cell polarity complex component 3, with no coding region annotated. The record is from RefSeq and is a predicted model, not a curated record. The transcript is spliced from 6 exons. Lineage: Eukaryota; Metazoa; Chordata; Mammalia; Carnivora; Felidae.
UGCACAGCCUAGGAAGCGCCAGGGUUCAUUCUGGGGAGAGGGGCUGGAGAGAUCAAUGGUCUCAAUUCUGCUUUCAGAGUUCUGCCUUGCGUGCCUCAGUUUACCCUCUGCCCCAAGGGGCGAAGUAGAGAGAUAUCAGGGAUUUGGUUUCGUAAUCCCUUUCCACUUGACCUCCCUCCCCUACUAAUCCUCUUUAGGCGCCAAAGUACUCGUUUUCAACCCAGACGUGCUCAAGAACCAACCCGAGGCCAUCCAGCCCUCCAUCUGCCCGCCCGCUCAUUUCACAUCCCCCACUCGGCCGCAAAAACAGAAAAUCAAGAGGCGGUGCUUUCUCCCGCAAGCUUUACAUCCCUCCCGCGAGCCUCCUUUCUCUGUCCCACUUAGACUGGGAAACGGAAGAUCAACUGGCGGCGCGGCUGCAGAGUCGGUUUCCUAUUGGCCAGGACUGCUGGAGCUGCGCCCGCCCGCCCCACCUGGGCGGGGCUUCCGCGCAGACCUGGUGCCUUCUUGGGCCCCCGCGACUUCUGGCUGGCCUGGCCGUCUUAAAGGGGCCGCGGCAGGAUCCGGUCGCUUGGCUGACUGCUCUCUCCAGACCAACCUGGGCCUCUCAGUAUCCCAGGCUCGAGUGCCGACGGAGACCGGGAAGCCGAACGCUGGAGGCGCGGCAUCAGCCUGUCGCGCUCGCUGCACCUGCCGAAAGUCCCUCCCACUACUUUUGGGCGCAGUUUCUCGAGUCACCAUUAGGGGGAGGGGCGGCCAGAAACACAUUGGCGAAAAAUAAUAAUAGCUAACAUUGACUCACGGCGUUGCACAAACCCAAGGCCUUUUUACUCACCUCUCGCGUCGUCCUCGCCAAAACUCUAUAAGGGGAGCCAUGCAGAUGCGUUUCCUAAACAAACGUACCCUAACCCAGACGGCCGCGGUCAGGUGUUACAACGCAGGCGUGUUCUACGCAGCCGUUUCCCACACAGGUAUGCUUCCGUUCGUCUACACUCCAGAGAUGUGGCUCAACGCACACGUCUCCCACAGGUGUGCCCGCAACAUAGGUGGGAGGUCCCUCUUACCCUAGCUCGCUUCCGCCCCUACUUACUCCUUGCUGUUGUAGAAUUAGGUUCCCGUUACAGGUGCGUCCCUGGCGCGGCCCCACCCCCGUUCGGCUCCGCCCUCCCAUCUGGGCUCAGGUGCACGAGCCGGAAGUGCGCUCCUCUCCCAGGUGAGUGACUAAACUUUCCGGGUCACGUGAACGGGAGGAGCUGAAGGAGUCCGACCGAGCUACCGACCGACGCACCGAGGGUUCGAGCCAGGUACUCGGACCGGGCACCGGAGCAAGGUCGAAGACGCCUGGGCCAGGUGCCGGGUCGCAGGUACCCCUGGCCCGAGAUGCGGUAGAAACAGCGCGCAGGAGACGCCCGGUUCCCGGUGCCACCAGCCCGUCGCCCGGCCCAUGGCGAGCCCCGGCCUGGGGCUGCUUCUGGCGCUCGGCCUGCAGCUGCUGCCCGCCCGCUGGGGCCGGGCCUGGGGGCAAACGCUGGACCCCCCCGUAAAUGACAACAGCACCAUCACACCCUCUGACCCGGGCUCCGGCUCCCAUGGGGCGCUGUCUCAGGAGGCUAUCACCGCCAUCAUUGUGGUCUUCUCCCUCCUGGCCGCCUCGCUCCUGGCCGUGGGGCUGGUGCUGCUGGUUCGAAAACUUCGGGAGAAGCGGCAGACACAGGGCACCUACCGGCCCAGCAGCGAGGAGCAGGUGGGUGCCCGCGUGCCGCCGCCCCCCAACCUCAAGCUGCCGCCGGAGGAGCGGCUCAUCUGAAUGCCGGGGCCCCGUUGCCGCCUCCACCGCUGCCCAGGACUGCCCGGCGCUCGCUCACACACAGCAGCCGCCACCGAGGAAACAGCCUCUGAUGUUCUCCCACGCAGCCGAGGCCCGGGCUCCCCAGGACUCCAAGGAGACAGUGCGGGGCUGCCUGCCCAUCUAGGUCCCUUUUCCAUCUCUCUCUCUCUCUCUCUCUCUCUCUCACUGUGUGACCUUGGGGGAAGGCAGAGCCCUCUCUGGGCAAUCAAACCUACCUAGUGCUUAAGAAUAGAAGGGAGGAAGGUGCUUCAAAGACUCUGCCCCUGAGGGGAAGGGAGGGUGGUGCUGCUUACAUUUUUUAUAUAUAUAUAUAUAUAUAUAUAUAUAUACACGUAUAUACAUAAAUCCCAUAGUGAGAUAUAAUAAAACCUUUUUUUUUUUUUUUUAAGCCGGUGGGGCAGGAGUCAGUCUAGAUGGAGAGGACAAACUCAGGGCUCAUAGGCUGUUGAGAGAUGAAUUGUAAGGGUGCAAGAAUCCAGGGGGGGCUUCCUGGAAGGGAGGGGCUUCCUGCUGCACCUGGGAGCCAGCUGGAGGAGGAGGAGGAAGGUGGCGGAUGGGGUACGUUUCUGAGCACAGAGAGGGCCCCCAGAUAAACUCACCAGGAAAACCAGCUUUGGGCUCAUGUGGCUUUAUUGAAGGACCAGGGUCUCCUCUGGGACCCUGAUUCUUAACCUUCAAAACACUUUUUAAGCUCAGCGACUCUGGGCCGGCUCCUAGCCUGGGACUCCUGCCAGUCGCUGUCGGGUGCAGCAGGGGGCCUGAGGGCUCCUGGCCCCUUGGGGCACUGGAAAUGAGCAUGUUCUGCCAGCAUGACCUCAGAUGGCUGGGGCCUGGGGUUCUCUGGGGAACCAGGAUCUGAGGAAGAAUCAAGGGGCUCAAGGGGUUGGGAUGUCCAGGUAAUAUCCAAGUUGGGCUUUGUGGGGACCAGAAGUUGGGGGCUUUCUGGAGGGCUGGACUGGGUGGGUGCUGUGGACAGCUGAGAGCAGGGGCUCUCCUGGGCUCUGGGGUCUUCAGCUGCCUUGCGGGGAGGGGAGAGAUGUAGGAUGAGAAGACUGGACUCGGGGUCCCCUGGGCUGCUGGGGUCUGCAGAAGCUGGUGGAGGCAGCUGGUGAAGGAUGGCUUCUUGGCUGGCCUCCAAGGCUGGCUGGGAAAUAGGGUCCUUUGAGGAGGUCGCGGCAUCCGAAGACUGGAGGGUUUGCUGAGAUGGCAGGUCCGCAGGCAGGGACAGGGGCUGGGGCUCUGGAAGUUUCUCAUCGUCUGGUUGCCAUCUUGGUCUUUCCGCUAUGUCAGGCUGGGUGGGGGUAGGGGAACGGGCAAGUUGCUGGCCUUCAGAUGCUGGGGAAGGCUGACAAGUCCGAUGGACUUUUGGCAGGGGGGUUGGACGGGGGCUGGGGCUCUCACCAAGCUGAAGCAGCCGUCCGUGUCCUCUCUGUGACAGCAGUCCAAGCUCUGGCUGGGCCGCAGGCUCCCUGUCCUGCUGGCUCCCAGGCUCAGACUGUCCAGAAUCUCGCCCAGCAAAUCUAGUUCUUCUCCAGACCCCAGGAAGCUGCUGUCCAGAGCCUCCUCUGCCCAUGGGUCCUGGGCCUCCUCAGGGCUCCGAGCAGGUGUCCUGGGUAAGGAUGGGCAGCCCCAGAUGUCUGCCCAAGACCCCUAGUCCUAAUGGGACUGCUCUGGAGGUUCUGGAGUUUAGGGACCUGGCCUCCCUGCCCCCUCCCCCUGCCUUUGAGUCUCACCCUUCCUCCCGGGACUCGGAAGGUCUCUCUUCUAGUCGCCGUCUCCUGCUGGGGCGAAGGGGCCGGUUCUGCGAAGGACAGAUUUGGAGGGUGGGGCCUCAGGAACUACAGGUUUCUGGAGGAGGGUGUGUGGUAAGUGGGCACCGAACACUGGGGUAGGUGAGCAUGUGAGCAAGAAGUCUGGGUGUAGACAGAAUGGGAGAAGGACAAGGUGGCGUUAGUGUCGCAGGGUGCUGGGGGAGACGCACUUACCUUUCCAAAGUGCUGGGUGAUAGGCAGGCGCUGUUGCAGGCGAUCUGAGCGGCUGGUGAGGGACGGGGCUCUCAGGGAGCCCCCCCUUUGCCGGCUAGAGUCCCCAUCCUAGGAAGAGGGUGGGUGAGCCGGGUGGGUGAGCCCUUCUCCACUGCCCCGGCCGUUGGCCACCGGCCUUACCUUGUACAUCAGAAGGCUGUGCACACCCUUCAAGCCGCUCUUGGCCUACGGAGGAGCCACAAAGAGAAUUAGACUCCGCAGUGCUUUGAACCUGGGCAGUCAAGAGCUCGGCUCUCCGUCCCCUAGGAUCACUGUCCUGCCAUCUGUUCACGUUUGUGCUACACGGACCACCUGAGAAGUCAACACAGACUCACCCCUUGCCUAAUAGAAACGAAUUCCUAGAGGACAUAACCACCGAACGAAACGGAGAGUGGCAAACACAGAACACUGUAAGUGGUGUCAGCAUUCAAGAGACCAGCAACAGAUAAGACCCAAGGGACAAUUCGGUGCGGCAGAGGUUGGCCACAGGAAACUUGGGGGCUCGGGAGAAAAAGAAACACAAGGGCAGAGGCUGGGACCGUAGUGUCUGAGGACAAAAGAUGUUCGCCAAUGAAUCUUGGUCGUCAGUUUUCAGCGGGGAAGAAAUGAUCCUGGCAGAAAUGAGCAGGUAACCGGAAAUUAAAAGCGCGAAGACUUAUUUAA